CCGCCAGCCAGACCCAGGCCUACGAGGAGACCAGGCUACCUGACUCUUCUCAGACCCGGGAAGGUGGAGGGGCCUGAUCUGCAAGACAGAGCGAGGAGGGAGGCAGAAGGAACCCCUCCCAAGCCACCCAGGCUCCCCUGCUCCGGCUGCUACAGCCCGCUGUUCACCCACAAGGAGGGACGCCCCCGGGCCAGGCGAGAAGACGGGCAGCCCCCGGCGGCGAAG
Pelodiscus sinensis (Chinese soft-shelled turtle) is the source of this 225-nucleotide non-coding RNA. NCBI's taxonomy places the organism in Eukaryota, Metazoa, Chordata, Testudines, Trionychidae. The record is from RefSeq and is a predicted model, not a curated record.